Drosophila sulfurigaster albostrigata is the source of this 615-nucleotide long non-coding RNA. RefSeq lists it as uncharacterized. The transcript has 2 exons. The record is from RefSeq and is a predicted model, not a curated record. Lineage: Eukaryota; Metazoa; Arthropoda; Insecta; Diptera; Drosophilidae.
AAGAUCAAUAUUUUUCUGUAUUUGAACCAUACAUAAACUUUAAAAAGCUAUCAUCUAGGGAAUCUGCUGGGCAAAACACUCGAUACAAUUCUCUCACACUUGCUUUCAUUGCUGUUCUCGGAUUUUCUUCGGAAGUAUUGUGCAAAUUAUUACUAUUAUUUCUGUGUUAAGCUACGAGAGACGACGACAGCAUCGCACAUGCCACAAACUGUACUUAUUUACACGUGCGACUCUCAACGAUCAUGAUGAUGAUGAUCAGCAACACAAUGUUGACCAAUGCUGAUGAUGAUAAUGAAGUGCUAAAGCAACUGGCAUUUGUCGCAGUAUUGAGCACAUAAGUUCUUGGUCAUUGAUUUCCAAGCAAGGCCUAAACAGAUGUACGCCAGAUAGUCAAAGGGGCAAUCAAAGAGAAUUUCUAAUUUGAUGCUGUUUAAACUUGAGUAUGCCGUUGCCGUUGCCGUUGGCCAAAGCAUUCUUCAAUUAAGCAGCGAAGACAUGCAACUACUACUAACCGAAAGCCCAAAGACGCGGCAGUUAACCAAAAUUGCAUCAUUUAUCUGGAUAAGAUUUCUUUUGCCUCGUUCUCUCUGUCUGUCUUUUCCAAAAAAAAUAAAA